This is a non-coding RNA of Paramuricea clavata, 100 nucleotides long. Lineage: Eukaryota; Metazoa; Cnidaria; Anthozoa; Malacalcyonacea; Plexauridae. The record is from the annotation of a GenBank genome assembly.
GGAAAGGUUCAGAAAAACGCAAUCCAAUUCCAGCCUACAGAACGUUUGGAAGUUUGAAGUUUACGGCUGGAAUUGGAUUGCGUUUUUCUAAACCUUUCCA